This 305-nucleotide ribosomal RNA is filed under the name uncultured bacterium. RNAcentral describes it as "partial 16S ribosomal RNA". It matches the Rfam family "Bacterial small subunit ribosomal RNA", at positions 505 to 807 of the family's 1533-position model. The record is from RNAcentral.
ACAGCAGUAGCCACGGUAAUACGAAGGGUGCAAGCGUUAAUCGGAAUUACUGGGCGUAAAGCGUGCGUAGGCGGUGAGUUAAGUCUGUUGUGAAAUCCCCGGGCUCAACCUGGGAAUGGCAAUGGAUACUGGCAAGCUAGAGUGUGUCAGAGGAUGGUGGAAUUCCCGGUGUAGCGGUGAAAUGCGUAGAGAUCGGGAGGAACAUCAGUGGCGAAGGCGGCCAUCUGGGACAACACUGACGCUGAGGCACGAAAGCGUGGGGAGCAAACAGGAUUAGAUACCCCCGUAGUCCCUGUCUCUUAUAC